UUGUAGUGCUUCUACACAUUAGUUUGGGUAUCUGGCAUGUCUACCGUCCCAAAAACUCUGGAAAAAAAUCACUCCCGCGAUUUGUUGUGGUUCCUCUAUUUCAGAAACUAUGUGCUAAAGUGCGUCCAAUGGAAUUUCCCCCGAAAUAGACGUCAUAGUCGAAAAAUGCCCAUUUAGUACAUUCCCCCAUAGCUCUAUGCACUCCCCCACUACCACUCGACCCACCCCUAGAUGGACCCUCCCACUUUAUAGAAGCUCGGUCCACCGGUGUCCGCCAUUUCAUUCUUGCAAGCCUUGGAAACACUUGGAUAAGCUAACAGCAGCAUGAAUCGGUGGUCGGCUGCAAACAUGUCUUCAUGUGACACCAGCUUCAGAAGACACAAGAUUGAGAUGGAUUGAGUUCAUAUAUGAUGGCAACGUUCCUGCCACCACUUUGAAUCUGACUGUUUUAUCAACCUGGGCCAAUAUAACGCUGGAUUCUCGAAAAGGUUGUUAUUGAAAGAGGGGUCGGUGCCAUCUUUCCAUCGCAAUACUGAAGACGAGGGAAAUGCAAGCACAUCUGUUCACGGUGCUAGGCUACAUCACGUAGCAUGCCAGACGGACCCACCACAGAUGCGCACACAUGGAACGCAGCUUUCUAUGAAAACACUGCGACCUCACUACAAAAGUACAGGCACACAGAAAACUGUGCUGCACUGAUGUUGGUGUUGGGACCUCAGCUGUAAGAGACCUCGCUUGGAGGAGGGACAGGACAACCCAAGUUGUUCAAGUAUGGACUUCGGAG
Long non-coding RNA from Pleuronectes platessa (European plaice), 784 nucleotides. RefSeq lists it as uncharacterized. The transcript has 3 exons. The record is from RefSeq and is a predicted model, not a curated record. Lineage: Eukaryota; Metazoa; Chordata; Actinopteri; Pleuronectiformes; Pleuronectidae.